ACACCUGCUUUGCAGGCAAAACAAUGGAAGCCUGAUGCUGGUGGAAAGGCAGCUUUAGUCUGCUGAGAGAAAAUGAACUCCACAUCAGAAUUCUGUAAUACCUGCAGAGAAAGAAAGAAUAUAUUUUUAGAGCUUUAUAAAAAGGAUGGAAGAAGAAGUUCCAAUGACUAGCAAAUAUAUGAAAAAAAUGCUGAAUAUCACUAGCCAUGAUGGAAAUGCAAAUCAAAAUCACAAUGAGGGGCCUGCACUGUGGCACAGCAGGUUAAAGCCCUGGUCUGAAGCACCAGCAUUCCAUAUGGGUGCCGGUUCUAGUCCCGGCUGCUCCUCUUCCAAUCCAGCUCUCUGCUAUGGCCUGGGAUAGCAGUAGAGGAUGGCUCAAGUCCUUGGGCCCCUGCACCCACUUGGGAGAUUCAGAGGUUCCUGGCUUCAGAUUGGCGCAGCUCUGGCCAUUGUGGCCAUCUGGGGAGUGAACCAGCAGAUGGAAGACCUCUCUCUCUGUCUCUACCUCUCUCUGUAACUCUGUCUGUCAAAUAAAUAAAAUAAAUCUUUUUAAAAAAUCACAAUGAAAGAAGCUCCUAGCUCCUGGCUUCGGAUGGACCAAGCACAGGCCAUUGCAGCUAUUUGGGGAGUGAACCAGUGAGUGGAUGGAAGACUCUCUCUCUCUGUCUCUUUCUGUCUGUCUGUCUGUCUCUCUCUCUCUCUCUGCCUCUCUGUAACUCUGCCUUUAAAAAUAAAUAAAUUUUUAAAAAAAGAAAAAAAAACCUUUAGAAAAGGAAAAGAAGACCUCUCUCUUCUCACUCUGCUCCCUUUGCUUUGAGGCCUCUUGUGGUUGUGUGGUCACCUCUCUGAAACACAAGGCAGCUUUGUGGACAUCACUGAUGAUGCUUGUCAGCAGGGAUCGGGCCACACUGCCAGACUGCUUUGUUAGUCAUCUCAACUGUCCAUGUCCAUUGCAGCUGCUCUGGAACUCAUAGGAAGAUCUCAGUUUUUGCAAACUAAUGGAAGAACCACUUGGCAUGAUGGAAGUGGUUCAUUACAUGACAUUCAACUAUAAUUGCCAUCCAGUCCAGAACCAGAAGAUGGUGAUCAAAUAUGUAAGAAUGAAGAUUAAUUAAAUGAAAUUAAACAACUUAAAGAAGAAAGAAAGAAGAUGAAAAAAUCCAACUAUUAGAACAUCAGCUUGCAACUCCGUGUAACUGCCACCAAAAAUCUAAAGAGGAAAAAUGCACUUAUGCUGACAAAUACACCCAGACUCCCUGGAGAAGAAUUCCUGUGAGUAACAAAUGCUCUCACCCUCCUCUCCUGUCAUUUGCUAUUUAAUGUUUUGUUUGCUUUUCUUACUCUUAAUCACUAAUAAUUUUGAAUCUGCUUAUUGCUUUUAGUUUUUUUCUUAGGCAAGUUGUUGUUUUUCUAGUCUCUUAGAUGUGAAUAUGCUGCCUUCUAAAGCUUCACUUGUAUGUCCUGCACAAGUGAAUGUGCCUUUAAUAACUUCCAUUCUGCACACCGUAGCUCAUUUUAUUUGAAUGUCUUCUCUCCUGUCAUUGCGUGUAUCUAUGAGAGUAAUAUUUGUAGAAGCCCUACAAUAAACAGAAGUCCCAUAUGCAGCUGUUGCACCUCAACAACAUGCCACAUUUUAAAAAUAUAUUAUGUUAAACUUGUUGAAGUGAAAUGGACACUAUGAGAAACAGUGACUUGAUCAGCUCUUGUCCUGACGGUUGAUGUACAAUGUAAUACUUUAUCCAUUUUAGUAUUUUUUUUUUUGUUCUAGUACCAUUGGUUGAACUCUGUAAUUAACACACAAUUAUUCUUAGGUGUUUAAAUUUUAACUGAAAAGUGAUCCCUGUUAGGAAUUUGGAAAACAUUAUGCUGAGUGAAAUAAGCCCAUACCAAAGGGACAAAUACCACUUAUUCUCCCUGAUAGGUGACAACUAACUGAGCACCAAAAAGGAAACCUGUUAAAGUGAAAUGAACACUAUGAGAAACGGUGACUUGAUCAGCCCUCACCCUGACUGUUGAUGAGCAAUUAAAUAUGUUAUCCCUCUUAGUAUUUUUUGUUUGUUUGUUCUACUUAAUACUUUUGGUUGAAUACUGUAAUCAAUACACAAUUCUUCUUAAGUGCUGAAACUUAACUGAAAAGUGAUCGCUGUUAAAUAUAAGAGUGGGAAUAAGAGAGGGAAGAGAUGUGCAAUUCAGGACAUGCUCAAGCUGACUUAUCUCAAACGGUAGAGUUAGAAACAUACCAGGGGAUUCGAAUUCAAUCCCAUCAAGGUGGCAUGUACCAAUGCCAUCUCACUAGUCCCAGUGAUCAAUUUCUGUUCACAAUUGAUCAUAAUGAUAGGACUAAGAACCAAAGGGAUCACAGAAACAAGAAUAGUGUCUGCAAAUACUAGCUGAUAGAAUCAAAAAGGGAGAGAAUGGUCCAACAUGGGAAGUGAGAUACACAGCAGACCCAUAGAAUGGCAGAUGUCCUAAACAGCACUCUGCCUCAGAAUCAGCCCUUAAGGCAUGCAGAUCCGGCUGAAAAGCCCAUGAGAGUAUUUCAGGCAUGGAAAGC
Oryctolagus cuniculus (rabbit) is the source of this 2554-nucleotide non-coding RNA. Lineage: Eukaryota; Metazoa; Chordata; Mammalia; Lagomorpha; Leporidae. The record is from RefSeq and is a predicted model, not a curated record.